This 2904-nucleotide ribosomal RNA is filed under the name Klebsiella variicola At-22. RNAcentral's name for it is "bacterial LSU rRNA". It matches the Rfam family "Bacterial large subunit ribosomal RNA". Lineage: Bacteria; Pseudomonadati; Pseudomonadota; Gammaproteobacteria; Enterobacterales; Enterobacteriaceae. The record is from RNAcentral.
UUAAGCGACUAAGCGUACACGGUGGAUGCCCUGGCAGUCAGAGGCGAUGAAGGACGUGCUAAUCUGCGAAAAGCGUCGGUAAGGUGAUAUGAACCGUUAUAACCGGCGAUGUCCGAAUGGGGAAACCCAGUGCAAUUCGUUGCACUAUCGUUAACUGAAUACAUAGGUUAACGAGGCGAACCGGGGGAACUGAAACAUCUAAGUACCCCGAGGAAAAGAAAUCAACCGAGAUUCCCCCAGUAGCGGCGAGCGAACGGGGAGCAGCCCAGAGUCUGAAUCAGCUUGUGUGUUAGUGGAACGGUCUGGAAAGUCCGACGGUACAGGGUGAUAGUCCCGUACACCAAAAUGCACAGGUUGUGAACUCGAAGAGUAGGGCGGGACACGUGGUAUCCUGUCUGAAUAUGGGGGGACCAUCCUCCAAGGCUAAAUACUCCUGACUGACCGAUAGUGAACCAGUACCGUGAGGGAAAGGCGAAAAGAACCCCGGCGAGGGGAGUGAAAAAGAACCUGAAACCGUGUACGUACAAGCAGUGGGAGCACCUUCGGGUGUGACUGCGUACCUUUUGUAUAAUGGGUCAGCGACUUAUAUUCUGUAGCAAGGUUAACCGUAUAGGGGAGCCGCAGGGAAACCGAGUCUUAACUGGGCGUUAAGUUGCAGGGUAUAGACCCGAAACCCGGUGAUCUAGCCAUGGGCAGGUUGAAGGUUGGGUAACACUAACUGGAGGACCGAACCGACUAAUGUUGAAAAAUUAGCGGAUGACUUGUGGCUGGGGGGUGAAAGGCCAAUCAAACCGGGAGAUAGCUGGUUCUCCCCGAAAGCUAUUUAGGUAGCGCCUCGUGAACUCAUCUUCGGGGGUAGAGCACUGUUUCGGCUAGGGGGUCAUCCCGACUUACCAACCCGAUGCAAACUACGAAUACCGAAGAAUGUUAUCACGGGAGACACACGGCGGGUGCUAACGUCCGUCGUGAAGAGGGAAACAACCCAGACCGCCAGCUAAGGUCCCAAAGUCAUGGUUAAGUGGGAAACGAUGUGGGAAGGCACAGACAGCCAGGAUGUUGGCUUAGAAGCAGCCAUCAUUUAAAGAAAGCGUAAUAGCUCACUGGUCGAGUCGGCCUGCGCGGAAGAUGUAACGGGGCUAAACCAUGCACCGAAGCCGCGGCAGCGACACUAUGUGUUGUUGGGUAGGGGAGCGUUCUGUAAGCCUGCGAAGGUGGCCUGUGAGGGCUGCUGGAGGUAUCAGAAGUGCGAAUGCUGACAUAAGUAACGAUAAAGCGGGUGAAAAGCCCGCUCGCCGGAAGACCAAGGGUUCCUGUCCAACGUUAAUCGGGGCAGGGUGAGUCGACCCCUAAGGCGAGGCCGAAAGGCGUAGUCGAUGGGAAACAGGUUAAUAUUCCUGUACUUGGUGUUACUGCGAAGGGGGGACGGAGAAGGCUAUGUUAGCCGGGCGACGGUUGUCCCGGUUUAAGCAUGUAGGCGGAGGUUCCAGGUAAAUCCGGUACCUUUUAACGCUGAGGUGUGAUGACGAGGCACUACGGUGCUGAAGUAACAAAUGCCCUGCUUCCAGGAAAAAGCCUCUAAGCAUCAGGUAACAUUGAAUCGUACCCCAAACCGACACAGGUGGUCAGGUAGAGAAUACCAAGGCGCUUGAGAGAACUCGGGUGAAGGAACUAGGCAAAAUGGUGCCGUAACUUCGGGAGAAGGCACGCUGGUGUGUAGGUGAAGUCCCUGCGGACGGAGCUGAGACCAGUCGAAGAUACCAGCUGGCUGCAACUGUUUAUUAAAAACACAGCACUGUGCAAACACGAAAGUGGACGUAUACGGUGUGACGCCUGCCCGGUGCCGGAAGGUUAAUUGAUGGGGUUAUCCGUAAGGAGAAGCUCUUGAUCGAAGCCCCGGUAAACGGCGGCCGUAACUAUAACGGUCCUAAGGUAGCGAAAUUCCUUGUCGGGUAAGUUCCGACCUGCACGAAUGGCGUAAUGAUGGCCAGGCUGUCUCCACCCGAGACUCAGUGAAAUUGAACUCGCUGUGAAGAUGCAGUGUACCCGCGGCAAGACGGAAAGACCCCGUGAACCUUUACUAUAGCUUGACACUGAACAUUGAGCCUUGAUGUGUAGGAUAGGUGGGAGGCUUUGAAGCGUGGACGCCAGUCUGCGUGGAGCCAACCUUGAAAUACCACCCUUUAAUGUUUGAUGUUCUAACGUUGGCCCGUAAUCCGGGUUGCGGACAGUGUCUGGUGGGUAGUUUGACUGGGGCGGUCUCCUCCCAAAGAGUAACGGAGGAGCACGAAGGUUAGCUAAUCCUGGUCGGACAUCAGGAGGUUAGUGCAAUGGCAUAAGCUAGCUUGACUGCGAGCGUGACGGCGCGAGCAGGUGCGAAAGCAGGUCAUAGUGAUCCGGUGGUUCUGAAUGGAAGGGCCAUCGCUCAACGGAUAAAAGGUACUCCGGGGAUAACAGGCUGAUACCGCCCAAGAGUUCAUAUCGACGGCGGUGUUUGGCACCUCGAUGUCGGCUCAUCACAUCCUGGGGCUGAAGUAGGUCCCAAGGGUAUGGCUGUUCGCCAUUUAAAGUGGUACGCGAGCUGGGUUUAGAACGUCGUGAGACAGUUCGGUCCCUAUCUGCCGUGGGCGCUGGAGAAUUGAGGGGGGCUGCUCCUAGUACGAGAGGACCGGAGUGGACGCAUCACUGGUGUUCGGGUUGUCAUGCCAAUGGCACUGCCCGGUAGCUAAAUGCGGAAGAGAUAAGUGCUGAAAGCAUCUAAGCACGAAACUUGCCCCGAGAUGAGUUCUCCCUGAGACUUUAAGUCUCCUGAAGGAACGUUGAAGACGACGACGUUGAUAGGCCGGGUGUGUAAGCGCAGCGAUGCGUUGAGCUAACCGGUACUAAUGAACCGUGAGGCUUAACCUU